Molecule: long non-coding RNA, 1099 nt
Filed under: Bemisia tabaci
Lineage: Eukaryota; Metazoa; Arthropoda; Insecta; Hemiptera; Aleyrodidae
Description: lncRNA ENSASIAIIG012660
Source: RNAcentral
AAUUAGGAGCCACAAUUUCUGGCUCGAUUUCGAAACAACGUCUGCACCUUUAGUUUCCCUAUGCACAUAAGUGUUUUUCCAGAUGAGUCAGAAAUUGUAGUUCCUAAUUGCAAAAUUUAGUCCGAAUAUGGCUCAAAGCCACAUAACUCCUACAAUUUUGAAAUAACGUCACCGAGAAUAGGCAUCAUUUGCAGUGUUCCAAUCGAUUAUUCAGUUUUGAGGACCACUGUGGAAACGGUUGAAUGAGAUAUCUGGAGCUGUGAUGAUGUUAAGUAAUGCAUGAAUUCACUCCACGCGACGCGAGGCGCUCCACAACCACCGGAGCGUGGCCGGCGGAGGAAGAAGAAGAAAAAGUCACGUCCAGACGAAAUCAGCCAGAUCAGUUGGUCCAGUUAACAUAACCUAUUAUUCUAUCAACCUGCAAUGAAUCUCCUCUUGCUUUCCACCUUGGCUUUGAUGGACUCUGUGAGUCGUAGUGUGUGUGAGAAAAAAUUAUACAUGACGAGUCUUCCGUCGGUGCCAAUGUUUCAGAUACCUCAUCAGCCAUUUAUUGUGCCUUUUACAGAGCUUGAUAAUAUUCGCUCUGAAUCCAAAGUCGAUGGAGUCCACCACAAAGAUCAAGGAUUCUUUGAUAACUUUCAGAAAACCAAUGACAAAAAGAAAUAUUCAUCACAUCAUGACAAGCAUUCAAAACAUAAGGCUCUAAAAGAAGCUGAGCACAAAGAUGCAGGAAAAGGCUCAAAAGUUGGCGAAUAUGCACACAAGCGCGUGAAGAAGAAGAAAACUAAGCAUGAAAAGGAGAAGAAAGGCAAGCACAGCAAGGAAAAAAGUGGCAAACACGGAGGUAAAAGUGGUCACAAGAAAAAGAAUGAGAAGCACACAUUGAAAGAGGGGUUUCAUGAUAAAUACCACAGAGAUGAAGAAAAGGAGGACAACAAGUUUUAUAGCAACCACAAAGAGUCUGGUACCUUCAUGAAAUUUAAAAAGAAAAAACAUACGAAAAAGAGAAGGACGAAGCAGCAGACAAGAAAAAUACAAAGAAGGUACGACUAUUCCCAAUGCUUGCUCACUGUAUUCUCAAUUCAUACAAAAGUAAUUA